Molecule: ribosomal RNA, 492 nt
Filed under: uncultured bacterium
Lineage: Bacteria
Description: partial 16S ribosomal RNA
Rfam family: Bacterial small subunit ribosomal RNA
Source: RNAcentral
GGUGAACGCUGGCGGUAGGCCUAACACAUGCAAGUCGAACGGCAGCACAGUAAGAGCUUGCUCUUACGGGUGGCGAGUGGCGGACGGGUGAGGAAUACAUCGGAAUCUACUUUUUCGUGGGGGAUAACGUAGGGAAACUUACGCUAAUACCGCAUAUGACCUACGGGUGAAAGCAGGGGAUCUUCGGACCUUGCGCGAUUGAAUGAGCCGAUGUCGGAUUAGCUAGUUGGCGGGGUAAAGGCCCACCAAGGCGACGAUCCGUAGCUGGUCUGAGAGGAUGAUCAGCCACACUGGAACUGAGACACGGUCCAGACUCCUACGAGAGGCAGCAGUGGGGAAUAUUGGACAAUGGGCGAAAGCCUGAUCCAGCCAUACCGCGUGGGUGAAGAAGGCCUUCGGGUUGUAAAGCCCUUUUGUUGGGAAAGAAAAGCAGCAGGUUAAUACCCCGCUGUUCUGACGGUACCCAAAGAAUAAGCACCGGCUAACUUCGUG